RNAcentral lists this ribosomal RNA (1438 nucleotides) under Phocaeicola vulgatus. Its description in RNAcentral is "bacterial SSU rRNA". It matches the Rfam family "Bacterial small subunit ribosomal RNA". RNAcentral also lists the same sequence under 1 other name. Lineage: Bacteria; Pseudomonadati; Bacteroidota; Bacteroidia; Bacteroidales; Bacteroidaceae. The record is from RNAcentral.
CUAGCUACAGGCUUAACACAUGCAAGUCGAGGGGCAGCAUGGUCUUAGCUUGCUAAGGCCGAUGGCGACCGGCGCACGGGUGAGUAACACGUAUCCAACCUGCCGUCUACUCUUGGACAGCCUUCUGAAAGGAAGAUUAAUACAAGAUGGCAUCAUGAGUCCGCAUGUUCACAUGAUUAAAGGUAUUCCGGUAGACGAUGGGGAUGCGUUCCAUUAGAUAGUAGGCGGGGUAACGGCCCACCUAGUCUUCGAUGGAUAGGGGUUCUGAGAGGAAGGUCCCCCACAUUGGAACUGAGACACGGUCCAAACUCCUACGGGAGGCAGCAGUGAGGAAUAUUGGUCAAUGGGCGAGAGCCUGAACCAGCCAAGUAGCGUGAAGGAUGACUGCCCUAUGGGUUGUAAACUUCUUUUAUAAAGGAAUAAAGUCGGGUAUGGAUACCCGUUUGCAUGUACUUUAUGAAUAAGGAUCGGCUAACUCCGUGCCAGCAGCCGCGGUAAUACGGAGGAUCCGAGCGUUAUCCGGAUUUAUUGGGUUUAAAGGGAGCGUAGAUGGAUGUUUAAGUCAGUUGUGAAAGUUUGCGGCUCAACCGUAAAAUUGCAGUUGAUACUGGAUAUCUUGAGUGCAGUUGAGGCAGGCGGAAUUCGUGGUGUAGCGGUGAAAUGCUUAGAUAUCACGAAGAACUCCGAUUGCGAAGGCAGCCUGCUAAGCUGCAACUGACAUUGAGGCUCGAAAGUGUGGGUAUCAAACAGGAUUAGAUACCCUGGUAGUCCACACGGUAAACGAUGAAUACUCGCUGUUUGCGAUAUACUGCAAGCGGCCAAGCGAAAGCGUUAAGUAUUCCACCUGGGGAGUACGCCGGCAACGGUGAAACUCAAAGGAAUUGACGGGGGCCCGCACAAGCGGAGGAACAUGUGGUUUAAUUCGAUGAUACGCGAGGAACCUUACCCGGGCUUAAAUUGCAGAUGAAUUACGGUGAAAGCCGUAAGCCGCAAGGCAUCUGUGAAGGUGCUGCAUGGUUGUCGUCAGCUCGUGCCGUGAGGUGUCGGCUUAAGUGCCAUAACGAGCGCAACCCUUGUUGUCAGUUACUAACAGGUUCCGCUGAGGACUCUGACAAGACUGCCAUCGUAAGAUGUGAGGAAGGUGGGGAUGACGUCAAAUCAGCACGGCCCUUACGUCCGGGGCUACACACGUGUUACAAUGGGGGGUACAGAGGGCCGCUACCACGCGAGUGGAUGCCAAUCCCCAAAACCUCUCUCAGUUCGGACUGGAGUCUGCAACCCGACUCCACGAAGCUGGAUUCGCUAGUAAUCGCGCAUCAGCCACGGCGCGGUGAAUACGUUCCCGGGCCUUGUACACACCGCCCGUCAAGCCAUGGGAGCCGGGGGUACCUGAAGUGCGUAACCGCGAGGAGCGCCCUAGGGUAAAACUGGUGACUGG